Molecule: ribosomal RNA, 428 nt
Filed under: uncultured bacterium
Lineage: Bacteria
Description: partial 16S ribosomal RNA
Rfam family: Bacterial small subunit ribosomal RNA
Source: RNAcentral
GUGGGGAAUAUUGGGCAAUGGGCGCAAGCCUGACCCAGCAACGCCGCGUGAGGGAAGAAGGCUUUCGGGUUGUAAACCUCUGUCCUUGGUGACGAAACAAAUGACGGUAGCCAAGGAGGAAGCCCCGGCUAACUACGUGCCAGCAGCCGCGGUAAUACGUAGGGGGCGAGCGUUGUCCGGAAUUACUGGGCGUAAAGGGUGCGUAGGUGGCCUUUUAAGUUGGAUGUGAAAUACCCGGGCUUAACUUGGGGGGUGCAUCCAAAACUGGGAGGCUAGAGUGCAGGAGAGGAAAGCGGAAUUCCUAGUGUAGCGGUGAAAUGCGUAGAUAUUAGGAGGAACACCAGUGGCGAAGGCGGCUUUCUGGACUGUAACUGACACUGAGGCACGAAAGCGUGGGGAGCAAACAGGAUUAGAAACCCGGGUAGUCC